Molecule: long non-coding RNA, 472 nt
Filed under: Homo sapiens (human)
Lineage: Eukaryota; Metazoa; Chordata; Mammalia; Primates; Hominidae
Description: HSALNT0096877
Source: RNAcentral
UGGGCUGUGGCUAUUUGAAAAUCAGAGCAUCUUUUAAAAGGGAGACGGCAUCUGAACCUUGCCGAGUAGGAAUGUUCCAGAAGUAAGAGAGAUGACUAGGGUUUCAAGAACAAGGACCAGCACCUAUGAAGGCUCUGAGGCACAGACCACUGUGACCUGUGGAGAAGUGGCUCCCACAGUUUCCCAGAACUGCCCCCUUGGUCAGAGUCACGGUUCUCCUCUGGAAGAGAAGCUCAAGGGCAGACCCUCGGCAGGAAGCAGACCAGCAUUUUCUGGAACUUCCCCGGUCGCUCUUCAGACCCCUCACUGAGGGAUUUAAUGGGAGGACUCACACGGCCUGAACAAGCCAAGUGAAGCACUUGUCUGCUAUUCUGUUCCCUUUGUGAGACUCAGAGUACCUGCCAUACCCAUAGUCAAAUUUAAAUAAAUAUUUAACAAAAGGGGUUAUUUUCUACACCAUGAGAAAAAGAGG